UACGUAGGGCGCAAGCGUUGUCCGGAAUUAUUGGGCGUAAAGAGCUCGUAGGCGGUUUGUCGCGUCUGCUGUGAAAACCUAAGGCUCAACCUUGGGCUUGCAGUGGGUACGGGCAGACUAGAGUGCGGCAGGGGAGACUGGAAUUCCUGGUGUAGCGGUGAAAUGCGCAGAUAUCAGGAGGAACACCGAUUGCGAAGGCAGCUCGCUGGGACGUUACUGACGCUGGAGACGCGAAAGCGUGGGGAGCAAACAGG
RNAcentral lists this ribosomal RNA (254 nucleotides) under uncultured bacterium. Its description in RNAcentral is "partial 16S ribosomal RNA". It matches the Rfam family "Bacterial small subunit ribosomal RNA", at positions 524 to 776 of the family's 1533-position model. The record is from RNAcentral.